CCUACGGGUGGCAGCAGUGGGGAAUAUUGGACAAUGGGGGAAACCCUUAUCCAGCGACGCCGCGUGCGGGAAGAAGGUUUUCGGAUUGUACACCUCUGUCAGUGGGGACGAUAAUGACGGUACCCCCGGAGGAAGCACCGGCUAACUCCGUGCCAGCAGCCGCGGUAAUACGGAGGGUGCGAGCGUUAAUCGGAAUUACUGGGCGUAAAGCGCUCGUAGGCGGUAUGUCAAGUCAAGGGUGAAAUCCCCGCGCUCAACGUGGGAACUGCCUUUGAAACUGGCAAACUGGAGUGUGUGAGAGGAUAGUGGAAUUCCAGGUGUAGGAGUGAAAUCCGUAGAUAUCUGGAGGAACAUCAGUGGCGAAGGCGACUAUCUGGCACAUAACUGACGCUGAGGAGCGAAAGCGUGGGUAGCAAACAGGAUUAGAUACCCCGGUAGUC
RNAcentral lists this ribosomal RNA (440 nucleotides) under uncultured bacterium. Its description in RNAcentral is "partial 16S ribosomal RNA". It matches the Rfam family "Bacterial small subunit ribosomal RNA", at positions 338 to 795 of the family's 1533-position model. The record is from RNAcentral.